UCUCAUCAGAAAACGUUCAAUGGCAACGUUGGUCCACUUGGAACGACGUUACCAUCUCACAAUCUGGCCUCUCAGAUUGUGAGAUGGUAACAUUUAGUCCUCCCAUUGUUUUGCAUUGGCAUGUUCUCACGUCACGUGACUCUCAAGCUCCCGUCUGCGGAGAGGAAAACAUGGCGGAGAUUCCUUGUUUUUUCAGAUAAAAAUAUAAUUUUGUAACUUAGUUUGGGCAUAAAAAUACAUUCUGACACCAUUUCUAGCGAGAAAUGUGCUCUUUGCUUCCACAGUCUUCAGCCAGUUCGUGCUUAAGAUAAAUAUUUUAAUAGUUAUCACGCAUGUUUUUAUCGUUGCUAUGACGGUUGCCAUGCCACCACGGCGCAGCUUGGUGUUUAAAUCACAGUCCCUGCGUGGUGUCCUUCAGUGAUCGUGAAUGUUAUUCAUGUUAUAUAAUAGUAAUAUUUGAGGCUAGAUUACAUCUCUAAUGAGAAGGAUCCUGCGAGUCUGUUCAUACCGAGGCCGGCCCUAGUGCGCGACCGGACCGAGUGCGCGAGCGGACAUGACGUGUGGCUGUCGUAAAAACCCUAUUUGUAAACAACCAGUCCUUUAACUCAGCACUUCGUCAUAAACACGGCGCGCUUGGAAGACCACGAUGUCAUUCUCCUUCUGUCAGGUAAGUAGUUUAUUAUUUUUAAAGAUCGUUACGAUCUAGGUUUACAGUCCGAGUGCGGAGAGAGUCCGUCAAUCCACACUAUGGACGCUGUUCAUCAGCUAAUACGCCAUUGUUAGCCACAUGCUUCAGCCCACGGUAGCCUGUGCUACCUGGGAGGUGAAUACAUGGUUGUUGAAACCAGUUCAAGACGCUUAGCUCAUCAUUGAGGGACGCUACAAUAUAAAUAUAAACAUGAAUUUGAUUUAUGAAUGCUUUAGAUUAAUAAGGAGUGUAUUUCUCUACUAUUACUCCACAAUAUCAGGUCAAUUUGGUUUAAUGUAUAGUAUGCACUAUGACAAUAAUGUUUCCAUGUUAUGGAGUUGCGAUUCAUUUUAUAAAACAAUUGCUAUGUUCUGUUUUUUAAUCAAGGAGGAUCCAAGUGAAGCUACAGGAGUUUCAUUAACGUCAAUAACUUGGACCGAACAGUUUGUUUUGCUUGAUGAAGAGCAGGAAGGGCAGCCUGGAGAGAAAGAGAAGCCGGGUUGAGCCCACUACCAUCAUCCAUGUACCACAAGGAAGAUGAGGGAGAGAAAUGAUCCUACCAUUAAAGAGACUGUGAAAAGAACGUUGAGAACAUCACCACUCUACAGGAAGACACAGUCCAGUAAUGGGUGUCAGAAUUUCAGUAGUGAACGACAGGAAGGACUGAUGCAUUUACUGAGACGGGACGUGAGGGCCUACUCUGCGUGGUCAGAGUUCAAGCCCAGCAGGCUGCAGCGGUCCUGACAUAUUCUGGAACAGCAGCACAGUCUUUGGAUGACUCCUCUGAAGAUGAAAACAUGGCGAGUUCUUCUCAAGAGAAGCAGUACAGGUGUGCCUCAGCUCCACGGUCCCUCCUGCAGCCUCCGCUCCUGAUGCUAACCUCAUGUCUCCAUCACACCAAGCAGCAGACCUGGAUUGACAGACCUUUCUCCAGAGCUGCCCCCUCCCUCUGAAACCCCCCUCUCCAAAACACUAUUUGUGUAGUUUUUAAAGUAUUUUUUGCAUGAGAAUUGUUGAUCAUAACAUUUCCAGCAGAUGCCUUAAUGUAAUGUUUGUGCACAAUA
Molecule: long non-coding RNA, 1752 nt
Organism: Pleuronectes platessa (European plaice)
Lineage: Eukaryota; Metazoa; Chordata; Actinopteri; Pleuronectiformes; Pleuronectidae
Exons: 4
Source: RefSeq, a predicted model, not a curated record